RNAcentral lists this long non-coding RNA (1242 nucleotides) under Homo sapiens (human). RNAcentral describes it as "HSALNT0289916". Lineage: Eukaryota; Metazoa; Chordata; Mammalia; Primates; Hominidae. The record is from RNAcentral.
GAAGAAGGUGCUUGUUUCUUCUUUGCCUUCUGCCAUGAUUGCCAUGUGAAUCGCACCCCUGGAACUGUGCAGGGCCCACCUGUGUGGCCACACGCAGUGACCCUGAGCAAAGGAGUGACCACAGAAGUGCAUGGCAAAGCAGAAAGGUGUGACGUCUUGGAGGACGCGGGAGGAAAGCACGCCCAGCGGACAGGAGCCAUCACGCGGCUGCGGGCUGCUGCUGAGAACCUGGCGUGGGCCACCGUCGUCAGCAGCGUGGAGGUAACUGACGACCUUGGCCAAGAAGUUGGGUGGCAGCGUGGAGGUCAUGCUCAGAGACACUUGUUAUUGCAGUCAGAGUCCAUCUGGAUAAUCCUGGAUAAAUCUCAUCUGGAGAUCCUUCACCAGAUCACAUCGGCAAUGACCUGUUCCCCAAAUAAGGCCCUGUGCACAGGUUCUGGGGUGCUAGGAGUGAGCCACCAUGCCUGGCCCAGUUUUUAAUGCUUGGACAUCUCCAAAAUCAGGACAUAUCUUGUAAUUGAAGACGUCUCACCAUAGCGGCCAGCCGUGCAACCACUGGGCCUGUCUGUGCCUGAACAACACACUGGCCUGCCUUUGCCUGAACAAGACAGCCUUAGUCUCAAAGCUUGCAGAUGGGUGUGGCCUGGUAGAAAAUUCUCAAGACAACGGCGGAGCACGCUUGCCCCUAGGAGACCAAGUGGCCGGAAUGUUGAGAAUCAGCCUUUCGCAGAAAUCCCCUAAGCGGGAGGCAGCAGGCUGACUCCAUCAGCCCCAGGCAGGCUUCUGGGCCCUGCAGCUAUGGCUCUUCAUCCUUUUACAUGUUCUUCGAGAAUCAGCUGCACCCUGGAUGCUUCUGACAGCUCAGAGGACAUCAGCAUGAGGACAAGCACAGGGCUUGAUGGCUCGGAGGGAAAUGGAGUUGGAAGAUUUGGACUUAAUGUGCACACAUUUUAGAAAUAUCUUAACAAAUUUUAUUUUGCUGAUAUCUUUCUUUUUUGUGUGUGCCAAAGUGAUGGCCAGUACAAAUCCAUGUCUAAUUAAGUCCAGAAGAGCUCCUUCAAUAAGCGUAAGAUGAAAGUUAUGAGUGAUAAGAAAGCGUCAUGUCAGUUUAAUUGGCAGCAUUUUCUCUUUCUUAGUGGUUCAUAAAAUAAGGCAGUGCUUUGCUAUCGACGGUGUCUGAAAUUCUGUGAAUAUUCAAAGUUAAAUCUCAUGCUGAACAGCCACUGUGCGCAAGGCGGGUGA